RNAcentral lists this long non-coding RNA (1043 nucleotides) under Mus musculus (house mouse). RNAcentral describes it as "RIKEN cDNA 1700101I11 gene (1700101I11Rik)". The record is from RNAcentral. Lineage: Eukaryota; Metazoa; Chordata; Mammalia; Rodentia; Muridae.
AGAGAAGGACCUGGAGAUCUCGCGGCCUGAAGGUAAAGGACCACCAGUUUCUUGUUUGAUGCCCAAAACAAACACAGAGGAAGAAAAUCCAGCUGUUUCCAGAGCAAUGGAAUCAGGAGUCUGGAGUUGGAAAAGUGCCAGGCGUCACGAGAUUUGUAGCCCGGGCUGAAAUGUCCUGUGCUUGCAUUUUGACCUUUGCCUGGCACCCACGACUGGCCUGCCUUCUCUGCCCCAACUCCUCCUUCUGACUGGUGUCCUUAUGUUUGGAUCUGUGCUAGAAUUGGUUCUGAGACAACAUAAACAGAGCAUGACUCAUGGAUUUGAAGAAGUGUAAGGGUGAAGAACAUGAAGUCAUCAAGGUUAGAAGAAGCGAUGCCAGCGAUGAACACCAGGCUUCACUCACGUUCAAGGAGAGAUGAAUCCAUUCAUUUUAUAAGGUUCACCCAGAAGCAUGGUUGUUGAGUUCUUGAAAAUACAGAGGUCAAAUCAUUUAGGUGUCUAUGUUUCCCCAACAAUACUUUGCUCUGGGGUGGGUAUCACCUGUAGGGUAGUUGUCCUGAUGAAAAGGCCUUAUUGGGCACCAAAAGCUCUGACUGGCAUGCUGGUGGAAGACCCUCAAUAGUAUAGAGAGAGUCAGCCCAGGCCCCUCUGACAUACCGGGUUUCCAUCUUAAGACUCUUUGGAUGCGGGGUCACCCUUCUGAUUCUACUGGCAGUAACUCCAGACCUAUAUCUUGGGAACAUCGGAGAUAAAGUUCAAGGAUGCUUUGUGCUGUGAAAAUAAAAUGACUACUAAGUGGUACCAGGCAAGCAGCCCUGUUGCCUGAUUUUAUGUACAUGACUUAGUGAUAUGGUUAUAAAAUAUGGGCAAAAUAAAGUGAACUGAAUUUAACUGGCAAAACAAGAACAUGAAAUACAUAGCCCACUUCUUGGUUUUCUCCUGGUAAUCUUUCUUACAUAUGAAGACAAAUGAAUUGGUAUAUAAUAUUGUUGUAUUUAUUUAUUGUUGUUUUUAUUUUCAAAUUAAAAAUAGUUUAAUACCCA